AAAGGAUGGGGGCGGCCGCAAACAUCGCAAGGCCUACUGGACGACACACAAACACCGACCGUCGGGGUCGGGGCGGCGGCGGCGCAGUCGCCAAGGCAAAGGCCGCAUCGCGCACCACCACAGCGACCCCAUGGCCGCAACCGCAACAACGACACACGCGCCCACGCACAGGUACGACUGCGCGUCGGCAGAGGGCGCCACCGCGAUCACGGUCCACACGCCGAGACACAGGACUGCCACGACGCACAAAAGGCGCAGCGCGCGACAUUGGUGCCAUCGUCGCGGCGCCAGCCCGGCCUCGUUGUGGUUGUAGACGUCGGCAUAAAUAUCGGCCGCCGGUGCUUCGACGUCUUCUUCCUCGGCGCACGACCUCUGCCUCAUGGGUUGGUGGUGCGCGAUCGUCCCUUUUUUUUCCCUAUAGGGUCGCCUCUUAAAGUCGCGCACGGCCUUGGGCGGCGCACGCGGCUCGGCGCCAAAAUGUUGCCGCAGAGGGGGAGCGCAAGAAAAAAAGCGACCUCGACGGCCGUGCAGGCGCACCCUAGAGGAGGCAACAGUGCCGAGCGGGCACCUCUCUGUUUUGUCGCCUUUUCUAUGCGCGCACUGUGUCUUGCGCAACGCCGACCUCGUAAACAAUGCAAAUGUUCUUCCCGUC
Molecule: long non-coding RNA, 652 nt
Filed under: Pandoravirus salinus
Description: putative ncRNA
Source: RNAcentral